UUACCCCUCUCAGAGGGUGAGGCUUCUAAACUCUUAAAUGCAGCUGUCCUACUACAUGCUCACUGGACCCCAUCCCAACCAACCUCCUGCAAUCUAUAGCUCCUAUAGUCACAGCAGCAAUCACACAUGUGACCAAUGCUUCACUGACAUCAGGUACAUUUCCUACUGCAUUCAAACAUGCUCAGGUUUCACCACUGUUAAAAAAACCUUCCCUCACUCCCACUCAGGUGGAAAACUAUUGGCCUGUCUCUCUCCCAUUCCUCUCUAAGACAUCAUUGAAAAGGCAAUGUUCAAGCAGGUCACUGAGUUCCCCACUCCACUGAAACAGCUCUGUUGUCAGAAGCCUUAAAAGACGCCAGAGCGGUAACUAAGUCCUCAGUACUCAAAUCUGCUCGACGUAUCAGCAGCAUUUGACACGGUUAAUCACCAUAUCCUAUUGUCCAUACUCUCAAAAAUAGGUGUAGUGGUAUGAGGCACCACUGAUUUAGUUUGUUUGACUGCAACCCGGCCCCUCUGACUUAUUAGCCAAUCACUGCGCUUACCGAGAGGAGAAAAGUAGGCUGUGUCCCUCCUCCUGAUCUCUCGCUUCCGGGUCGUUGUAUGUGCCGCUAGCAUCCGAGCACAGGUAAGCACAUAUGGCCGUGCUGUGUUGUGUAUAUUCGUCCGUGUUUCAUUCAAUUAAAACUGUCGUUCCCUAAUAGAUCCGGCGUCUUCACUGCGGUCGAGCCGAUCAGUCGGGGCGGUGUUUAUUGCCGCAACCAGAGCAUUGUGCUGAAGGCCGACGGUGGUGGUGGUGGUUCUCCUGGGUGGUGGUGGUCCUGUGUGCUGUGUGAUCCCUUUUUAAGAUUUUCUUUGUUUACACGUCACCUUUUGCUGUGUGUGUGGGGUGUCCUCCUUUUCCUUUUGGAUGUCACUUCCCCUACCAAACCCCUCCUCCAGCCGUGCUGAAGGCCGACGGUGGUGGUGGUGGUUCUCCUGGGUGGUGGUGGUCCUGUGUGCUGUGUGAUCCCUUUUUAAGAUUUUCUUUGUUUACACGUCACCUUUUGCUGUGUGUGUGGGGUGUCCUCCUUUUCCUUUUGGAUGUCACUUCCCCUACCAAACCCCUCCUCCAGCCGGUAAGCCUCAGACUACACCCCCCUUUUAGUUGGGCUCU
This is a long non-coding RNA of Solea solea (common sole), 1153 nucleotides long. RefSeq lists it as uncharacterized. The record is from RefSeq and is a predicted model, not a curated record. The transcript has 3 exons. Lineage: Eukaryota; Metazoa; Chordata; Actinopteri; Pleuronectiformes; Soleidae.